ACAGAGGUGCCAAGCGUUAGGCGGAAUCACUGGGCUUAAAGCGUGUGUAGGCGGAUCGUUAAGUACCUUGUGAAAUCCCACGGCUUAACCGUGGAACUGCUCGGUAUACUGGCGAUCUUGAGCCACCUAGGGGCAACUGGAACAAGCGGUGGAGCGGUGAAAUGCGUAGAUAUCGCUUGGAACGCCAACGGUGAAAACAGGUUGCUGGGGGUGUGCUGACGCUGAGACACGAAAGCCAGGGGAGCGAACGGGAUUAGAUACCCCGGUAGUCCUGGCCCUAAACGAUGUCGACUAGAUCGUAGUGCCUCUGACGGUAUUACGGUCGAAGCAAAAGUGCUAAGUCGACCGCCUGGGAAGUACGGUCGCAAGGCUA
RNAcentral lists this ribosomal RNA (373 nucleotides) under uncultured bacterium. RNAcentral describes it as "bacterial SSU rRNA". It matches the Rfam family "Bacterial small subunit ribosomal RNA", at positions 525 to 896 of the family's 1533-position model. The record is from RNAcentral.